GGGAACCCUACAUGCUCUUUUUGUACAAGUGUGGAAACAGCGAACCACUUGUUCUUUACUUGCCCGCUUGCCCGCACGGUUUGGGGCGUGAUGGGGAUGACAGUUGGAUCCUCUUGCUGUCCUCGAUCGCUUUGGCAAAGUUGGGCUUGGCUAUAUAAGUUCUUUCCAGGAGGAAAGCAGUUCUAUAUGAUGAUUAUUGCUGCCAUAUGUUGGGGGAUUUGGAACCUCCGCAAUAAAGUUACUUUUGAUAAACAUGUUGAUCGCACUCCGCUGGAGGCUGUUUUCACUGCAUGUUCGUUUAUGUUAUAUUGGGCAGGUUUGCUUAAAGGAGAAGACAAGGUGAAGCUCCAGGCUAUUGGCUCACGCGGCUGCUACCCUGGCAGACAGAUCCUUCCCUCGUGGCAGACUCCUCUUAGGAGACAAUGA
This 426-nucleotide ribosomal RNA is filed under the name Triticum aestivum (bread wheat). RNAcentral's name for it is "partial small subunit ribosomal RNA". Lineage: Eukaryota; Viridiplantae; Streptophyta; Magnoliopsida; Poales; Poaceae. The record is from RNAcentral.